RNAcentral lists this non-coding RNA (30 nucleotides) under Rattus norvegicus (Norway rat). Lineage: Eukaryota; Metazoa; Chordata; Mammalia; Rodentia; Muridae. The record is from RNAcentral.
UGCACUGACUCCUGGCUUCACACACCCUGC